GUUUGGUGUUCAAGUUUUGAUACUUGCAUUGCUAGAAGAGGCAGGCAUUGGAGGCAAAACAGAGCUACCUCUGCUUCUCUGUAUAAGAAGAAAGUAAAAAGUAAUGGAAGCAAUCACCACCACCAUAAUGGAGAAUCAAAACCAAAACCAAAACCACCAUCUCACAGAUCCCCAUUGCCUCCCCCUGUUUCAAAGCCACCAAAAGAAUACGC
Molecule: unclassified non-coding RNA, 212 nt
Filed under: Hevea brasiliensis (rubber tree)
Lineage: Eukaryota; Viridiplantae; Streptophyta; Magnoliopsida; Malpighiales; Euphorbiaceae
Source: RNAcentral